This 168-nucleotide non-coding RNA is filed under the name Neobacillus vireti. RNAcentral describes it as "Bacillus vireti GlcN6P sequence". It matches the Rfam family "glmS glucosamine-6-phosphate activated ribozyme aptamer". Rfam says of the family: This entry contains a glucosamine-6-phosphate activated ribozyme that is found in the mRNA for GlmS. GlmS is an enzyme that uses fructose-6-phosphate and glutamine to generate glucosamine-6-phosphate. The ribozyme catalyses self cleavage of the glmS mRNA that is thought to regulate GlmS activity. Lineage: Bacteria; Bacillati; Bacillota; Bacilli; Caryophanales; Bacillaceae. RNAcentral also lists the same sequence under 1 other name. The record is from RNAcentral.
AGUAUUUUAAAAGCGCCUGAACUAAUCAUCAGACGGUUUGAUUAGUUGACGAGGUGGAGGUUUAUCGAAAAUUCGGCGGAUACCUCCCGGUUGGAGACGCACAACCGAAAAUUUCUUCUUUAAAACAUGGAGGCAACUCUGUGCACAAAGAGAAGAAAAUGCGCAUAC